Molecule: ribosomal RNA, 832 nt
Filed under: Pseudomonas sp. MD195_PC81_125
Lineage: Bacteria; Pseudomonadati; Pseudomonadota; Gammaproteobacteria; Pseudomonadales; Pseudomonadaceae
Description: partial 23S ribosomal RNA
Rfam family: Bacterial large subunit ribosomal RNA
Source: RNAcentral
GUUAUAUGGUCAAGUGAAGAAGCGCAUACGGUGGAUGCCUUGGCAGUCAGAGGCGAUGAAAGACGUGGUAGCCUGCGAAAAGCUUCGGGGAGUCGGCAAACAGACUUUGAUCCGGAGAUGUCUGAAUGGGGGAACCCAGCCAUCACAAGAUGGUUAUCUUGUACUGAAUACAUAGGUGCAAGAGGCGAACCAGGGGAACUGAAACAUCUAAGUACCCUGAGGAAAAGAAAUCAACCGAGAUUCCCUUAGUAGUGGCGAGCGAACGGGGACUAGCCCUUAAGUGGCUUUGAGAUUAGCGGAACGCUCUGGAAAGUGCGGCCAUAGUGGGUGAUAGCCCUGUACGCGAAAGUCUCUUAGUCAUGAAAUCGAGUAGGACGGAGCACGAGAAACUUUGUCUGAAUAUGGGGGGACCAUCCUCCAAGGCUAAAUACUACUGACUGACCGAUAGUGAACUAGUACCGUGAGGGAAAGGCGAAAAGAACCCCGGAGAGGGGAGUGAAAUAGAUCCUGAAACCGUAUGCGUACAAGCAGUGGGAGCAGACUUUGUUCUGUGACUGCGUACCUUUUGUAUAAUGGGUCAGCGACUUAUUUUCAGUGGCGAGCUUAACCGAAUAGGGGAGGCGUAGCGAAAGCGAGUCUUAAUAGGGCGUCUAGUCGCUGGGAAUAGACCCGAAACCGGGCGAUCUAUCCAUGGGCAGGUUGAAGGUUAGGUAACACUGACUGGAGGACCGAACCGACUACCGUUGAAAAGUUAGCGGAUGACCUGUGGAUCGGAGUGAAAGGCUAAUCAAGCUCGGAGAUAGCUGGUUCUCCUCGAAAGCUAUUUAGGUAG